This 327-nucleotide long non-coding RNA is filed under the name Equus asinus (donkey). RNAcentral describes it as "lncRNA (ENSEASG00005027562.1)". The record is from RNAcentral. Lineage: Eukaryota; Metazoa; Chordata; Mammalia; Perissodactyla; Equidae.
CAAACUGGAGGCUGAGGGCUCGCUCCUGCUGUGUGCCUGUGGAGAAGGAAGAGAAUGCCUUCAAGGAAGUUCCGAUCACCAAUCACCAGAGAUCACCACUCAGCAGAUAACCGGCCCUCAGCUGCUGUUGAUGCCCAGAAGUGAGACUGCCCAAGGGCUUAUCAGGAGUGAAAGAAACACGCGUGACCCCUUGGUUUCUCCUGAGAAACUGCUCCUGCCAAGCCCCUUAGCUCUGUAAAAACCCCUGCUUUCUUCUCUCGUUCAGGUGGAUUUGAGAGAACCUAUCCUCCCGCCUUCUCCGCCAAUUCGAAUAAACCUUUCUCCAUC